Molecule: ribosomal RNA, 253 nt
Filed under: uncultured bacterium
Lineage: Bacteria
Description: partial 16S ribosomal RNA
Rfam family: Bacterial small subunit ribosomal RNA
Source: RNAcentral
UACGUAGGGUGCGAGCGUUGUCCGGAAUUAUUGGGCGUAAAGGGCUCGUAGGCGGUUUGUCGCGUCGGGAGUGAAAACUCAGGGCUUAACCCUGAGCCUGCUUCCGAUACGGGCAGACUAGAGGUAUGCAGGGGAGAACGGAAUUCCUGGUGUAGCGGUGAAAUGCGCAGAUAUCAGGAGGAACACCGGUGGCGAAGGCGGUUCUCUGGGCAUGUCCUGACGCUGAGGAGCGAAAGUGUGGGGAGCGAACAGG